This 308-nucleotide ribosomal RNA is filed under the name uncultured eukaryote. RNAcentral describes it as "partial 18S ribosomal RNA". It matches the Rfam family "Eukaryotic small subunit ribosomal RNA", at positions 1470 to 1796 of the family's 1831-position model. The record is from RNAcentral.
CCCUUAGAUGUCCUGGGCCGCACGCGCGCUACAAUGACUCACUCAGAAAGUUUUUCCUGAUCCGGAAGGAUUCGGGUAAUCUUCAUAGCAUGAGUCGUGUUAGGGAUCGAUCUUUGCAAUUAUAGAUCUUGAGCGAGGAAUGCCUAGUAAGUGCAGCUCAUCAGGCUGUACUGAUUACGUCCCUGCCCUUUGUACACACCGCCCGUCGCUCCUACCGAUUGAGUGGUCCGGUGAACCUUCUGGAUUAAGCAGCAAUGCUUGAGAAGUUAGGUAAACCUUAUCACUUAGAGGAAGGAGAAGUCGUAACA